Carassius auratus (goldfish) is the source of this 1478-nucleotide long non-coding RNA. RefSeq lists it as uncharacterized. NCBI's taxonomy places the organism in Eukaryota, Metazoa, Chordata, Actinopteri, Cypriniformes, Cyprinidae. The transcript has 3 exons. The record is from RefSeq and is a predicted model, not a curated record.
AUAAAACCGAACGCUGAACAGUAACUUUAAAUAAAUGACAUCUUGAAAUGUUUGUUUUAAGGGAGAUUUAUGGAAAGGAAAGCAAGUUUCCAGGCUGGAGUAUGUAGAUGUAGGAGGACAGGAAGGAAGUGUGCUUGUGGAGUUUCUGUCAGAUGGUGUAUGUCUCCAUCUUCUGCAUGGAAUCUGGCAGAAUGACGCCCUCCAGAGGAUCAGGCUGACAGAACUCCACCACAAACUCUUCCUCGGCCUCCAGCGGCGUUCUGGACCAGGCAGACAUGUAAAGUCUUCCAGCCACUCCUCCAUACUCUUGCGGCAGUACAGAUUGAGGAAUGACUCGAUGGAGAGAAGCCAAAACUGAGCCAUGCAGGACAUACUGUUGGGAGGAGACAGACUUGUAUCAAAUAUUAUUGUGUUAGAAAUGUCUAUGCGUAAAUACCAGGAUAAGUAGCUAGUUAUUUGCCCUCUCUGCCAUUUUCUCUUUCAGAAAUGGCUUGAUUAUUGCAAAAAUACCCUUGAAGAUACGCGGCUCAUUUAUAAUGUUUACAGCCUUUAUUCUGAUUUGGAAGCCUUCCUGAAACACAAAAGCAACGGUCAGUCAGUACUAAAAAUCAACGACUUCAUCGUAACGAAUCACUGGGCUACUUUUGCAUGGUCUUACCUGAAAAAUACAGACAACUUUCUUUGCCAAAAGCGGUCCUGGAUUAGAGGCUUGAGAGAGGCCAACUCUUGUAUAAUCCACCAGGAAAACAAUUCCAUUCACUUGGGUUUCCUCAAGCUGAAUAAGCUUCUCUAAUGUCAAACAGAUAGCCCGAAUGUUGUCCACAAAUGGGUAAUCAUUAGGCCAUUUACCUUAGAAAACAAAAGACAUAAUUUUUUUUAUUUUCUUUAUUGUUAACAGUAUCACUGGGAUAAUAUAGAUAUCAAAGCAGCAAGAAAGAGAAACUGUGAUCAUCUUUUCGUCUCAAACGAAAACCCAGAUCUAGGACGUGCUUCACUGUGGAGGGCUUCAGGCCUUGAAACACCUCUGGCCAGGCUUUCCGGCUGGCAUGAUAAUUGCUAGUGUGAAUAUCAAUGUUUUGUUGGAAAAAUGUAGAUAUUGCCAAUACCAUGUUCAUAUUUUAUUUUAUACAAUGACAAUGUCCAACUUCCUGGUGACUAUUAAAUGAAACUAAUGAUGAUAUUAUUUUAUACAGCAUUUCCUACAUACAGCAAGAUCUUUUAUGAAGAACAACUGUAAAAGGACUCCUGGUGGUACUUUGGUGUUCAUGAAAUACUUUAAUUAAAUUAUGAAGCCAGGCAUGGUACUUUAAAAUGCUGAAUGAUUUUUAAACGUGUAAAAGUUGAUGCCCUUUAUGUAAAACUGAACAGAAAUCAAAAGAAAUAAACAACCUGCCAUCAGUUCCUUGUGCAGUGAAAACAAGCCGUUCUACCAUUGGUUACUCUUUGUUAUGUGAUGUAUGACGCUAGAUGUUUAAUCA